GAAUCUUCCGCAAUGGACGCAAGUCUGACGGAGCAACGCCGCGUGAGUGACGAAGGUUUUCGGAUCGUAAAACUCUGUUGUGAGGGAAGAACACGUACCAGGUACCUACUGGUACCUUGACGGUACCUCACCAGAAAGCCACGGCUAACUACGUUCCAGCAGCCGCGGUAAUACGUAGGUGGCAAGCGUUGUCCGGAAUUAUUGGGCGUAAAGCGCGCGCAGGCGGUCCUUUAAGUCUGAUGUGAAAGCCCACGGCUCAACCGUGGAGGGUCAUUGGAAACUGGAGGACUUGAGUGCAGAAGAGGAAAGUGGAAUUCCAUGUGUAGCGGUGAAAUGCGUAGAGAUGUGGAGGAACACCAGUGGCGAAGGCGACUUUCUGGUCUGUAACUGACGCUGAGGCGCGAAAGCGUGGGGAGCAAACA
RNAcentral lists this ribosomal RNA (422 nucleotides) under uncultured bacterium. RNAcentral describes it as "bacterial SSU rRNA". It matches the Rfam family "Bacterial small subunit ribosomal RNA", at positions 359 to 774 of the family's 1533-position model. The record is from RNAcentral.